RNAcentral lists this ribosomal RNA (484 nucleotides) under uncultured bacterium. RNAcentral describes it as "partial 16S ribosomal RNA". It matches the Rfam family "Bacterial small subunit ribosomal RNA", at positions 30 to 507 of the family's 1533-position model. The record is from RNAcentral.
AUUGAACGCUGGCGGCAGGCCUAACACAUGCAAGUCGAACGGAUGAAGCGUGCUUUCUCCUGGAUUCCGCGGCGGACGGGUGUGUAAUGCCUAGGAAUCUCCCUGCUUGUGGUUGAUAACGUCCUGAAACGGGCGCUACUACCGCAUACUUCCUGCUGGAGCAAGUGGGUGAUCUUCGGACCUCACGCUCUCAGAUGAGCCUAGGUCGGAUUAGCUAGUUGGUGGGGUAAAGGCCUACCAAGGCGACGAUCCGCAACUGGUCUGCGAGGAUGAUCAGUCACACUGGAACUGAGACACGGUCCAGACUCAUACGGGAGGGAGCAGGGGGGAAUAUGGGACAAUGGGCGAAAGCCUGAUCAAGACAUGCGGCGUGUGGGAAGAAGGUCUUCGGAUGGGAAAGCACUUUAAGUGGGGAGGAAGGGCAGUAAGUUAAUACCGUGCUGUUUGGACGUUACAAACAGAAUAAGCAACGGCUAACUUCGUG